CCGAGAAGGGGAUAUGGCGAAAUCGGUAGA
RNAcentral lists this transfer RNA (30 nucleotides) under Abies kawakamii (Taiwan fir). RNAcentral's name for it is "partial tRNA-Leu". The record is from RNAcentral. Lineage: Eukaryota; Viridiplantae; Streptophyta; Pinopsida; Pinales; Pinaceae.